GACGAACGCUGGCGGCGUGCUUAACACAUGCAAGUCGAACGAAGUGGCGAACGGGUGAGUAACGCGUAAUCAACCUGCCCUUCAGAGGGGGACAACAGUUGGAAACGACUGCUACUACCGCAUACUGAAGGAGGGGAUUGGGUCUGAUUAGCUAGUGGGAGGGGUAACGGCCUACCAAGGCGAUGAUCAGUAGCCGGUCUGAGAGGAUGAAGGGCCACAGUGGGACUGAGACACGGCCCAGACUCCUACGGGAGGCAGCAGUGGGGGAGCUUCCGCAAUGGACGAAAGGCUGACGGAGCAACGCCGCGUGAGUGAUGACGGCCUUCGGGUUGUAAAGCGCUGUUAAUCGGGACGCGGUACCGGAAUAGAAAGCCACGGCUAACUACGUGCCAGCAGCCGCGGUAAUUC
RNAcentral lists this ribosomal RNA (408 nucleotides) under uncultured bacterium. Its description in RNAcentral is "partial 16S ribosomal RNA". It matches the Rfam family "Bacterial small subunit ribosomal RNA", at positions 28 to 526 of the family's 1533-position model. The record is from RNAcentral.